Molecule: long non-coding RNA, 675 nt
Organism: Brachypodium distachyon (stiff brome)
Lineage: Eukaryota; Viridiplantae; Streptophyta; Magnoliopsida; Poales; Poaceae
Exons: 2
Source: RefSeq, a predicted model, not a curated record
CUCCUUCUCCUCUCAGCACAAGGCAAACCCUAGAAGGGUUUCCUCUCCCCCAUAUCUCGUGCCGCCGCCGCUCCGUUCGGCUCGUGGACGCCGCCGCACUGCGCCGUCGUCUCCGACCACAUCAAGCCGAACCAAGCGCGUCACGAGCUCCGCCUCUUCUUCCUCUUCGUCUGCGUGCAAGGAAUUUGGCCGGGAUUGCCUACGUCGACGCCUAGCUCGUCUUCCCCAACUCCGGCCGCCGCCUCUCCUCCGGCAAAUUCCGGCGAGCCCGUCAACCAAAUCCUCGUCAGCUUCCUCCUGAGGAUUUGGGAGUUUCCGGAGGAACAGGUGAGUGGUUACUUCGUGGAGUUCGACGACGACAGUUUCGACGUUUAGCCAGAAGAUUUCAGAGCAGGGUUCUGUGAACUUGUGGCGGGCUCUCCUUUUCAGUUUCAGCCUCUUAGGCAAUAAUUAAUUUGUCCGUACUCGGGCCUAAUUUGCUUCCGCUGGUGUAAUGAUGAUUGUGGACAUGUAUCCAGAAGUUGUAAUAACUUGGUAUUUUGCUCCAUGUAUGAGCUUGAUUUGAUGCUUGUGUCUUAGAGUGAUGUAAUGAUAUCAUUGUUGUUCCAACCUGCGGUGAACACAUUGCGUGUAUGUUGUGAAGUGUUCAUCGUAGGGAGGCACUGGGAUUUGAUU